CCGAGCCCAAUUUGGACCUUAUAAUUUAUUUGUGUGGCCUGCAGCCAACAUUAAAUAAUAAAUGGGCCUCGACAAAUUUUAUUAUUUUGCUUCUACGAUCGACCCCGAAUGGUCCCGAUCUAUUGAAUUAAUUAAAAGUGACCUGCAGUCCAUUAAUCUGAUAAUUAAUCCAAAAUUAUUGGUCUGAAGCCCACUUUUGGACAUUAACGAUUCAAUAUUUUAUUUCUUCUCUUUGAACCGUUGACUCACUUUCGUAGUCCCGAAGCGCUCACACUUGAGUUCAUGAAGCAACCCAAAUCCACUACACUUAGUUGUAUAUUGCAUUCUGUGUUCUUGCAGGAACCUCUCUUUUAUGAACUAAACGUUCAUAAACUAAAUUGAACCUGUAGUUUCAAAUUUAGUGCCUUUGAAACCCGAAGUUUUCAUAAAACAAUACACCUAUGAAAACCCGAUGUUUUUUCAUGAAAACCAUGUCUUAGAACUUGAAUGUUCUAACUUUGAUGCUUAUGGAUGAUUCAUUCCCAUAGCACCAAUCACAAUAUUGUUCCCUCCAAUUCAGUGGAUUGUCGAACCGUCACAAGUUCGAUUUUCCU
This 593-nucleotide long non-coding RNA is filed under the name Malus domestica (apple). RNAcentral's name for it is "long non-coding RNA (MDOM_LNC017392)". The record is from RNAcentral. Lineage: Eukaryota; Viridiplantae; Streptophyta; Magnoliopsida; Rosales; Rosaceae.